Molecule: RNase P RNA, 291 nt
Filed under: Thermoprotei archaeon
Lineage: Archaea; Thermoproteati; Thermoproteota; Thermoprotei
Description: RNase P RNA component
Rfam family: Archaeal RNase P
About the family: Ribonuclease P (RNase P) is a ubiquitous endoribonuclease, found in archaea, bacteria and eukarya as well as chloroplasts and mitochondria. Its best characterised activity is the generation of mature 5'-ends of tRNAs by cleaving the 5'-leader elements of precursor-tRNAs.
Source: RNAcentral
GGGAGGGGUCGGGCAGCCUUCGGGUGCGUAAGCACCUGAGGAAAGUCCCCCUCCUCCGGGGAGCGCGGCACCGUAAGGUGCCAGCCGAGAGGCUGGGGGUUAAGCCAAAGAAACGGCACGUCCACCAGCGUAUGUCAAUGAUGGCCUUAAAAGCCUGAGCAUGCUGGUGGAAUCGUUGAAACGAGGCGACCCCCGCGCGGAAUAAGGCGAAUCCGCUAUGAGCACCCCGGUGAGCGGUAAGCCGCAUAGUCAAAUGCUGCCUAAACAGAAGGGGGAUUACGAACCCCACCC